This 75-nucleotide transfer RNA is filed under the name Schistocerca americana (American grasshopper). Its description in RNAcentral is "tRNA-Ser". It matches the Rfam family "tRNA". From Rfam's summary of the family: Transfer RNA (tRNA) molecules are approximately 80 nucleotides in length. Their secondary structure includes four short double-helical elements and three loops (D, anti-codon, and T loops). Lineage: Eukaryota; Metazoa; Arthropoda; Insecta; Orthoptera; Acrididae. The record is from RNAcentral.
UGCUUGGGUAGCUCAGUUGGUAGAGCACUUGUCCGUGAAAGGCAAAGGUCCCGAGUUCGAGUCUCGGUCCAGCAC